Molecule: unclassified non-coding RNA, 3689 nt
Filed under: Daphnia pulex (common water flea)
Lineage: Eukaryota; Metazoa; Arthropoda; Branchiopoda; Diplostraca; Daphniidae
Description: wD repeat and HMG-box DNA-binding protein 1-like, transcript variant X2
Source: RNAcentral
AAUACAGACAUCGGCUGCUGCAAAAGAAAAAAGAACGGUUUGCUGUUAAAAGUUUUGUGAUGGAUGAAUGUGUCAAAAGCGUUUCUCUUUUUAAUUAAACAAAGUAUCUCUACUUUCUUUGGAGUGCAAUUAUUUUUACGUUUUACUUCCGUCAAAGUUAAACUUACCAUAAUGAAGCGGAUGAAGUUUGCACACGGUGAAGGUCACACUGAUCUUACUUAUUCAGAAGAUGGAGCAAACAUUAUAACAUGUGGUGCAGAUGGAAUUAUCGUGUUUGGAAAGGCCACGAGGAUGAUGAUCCUGAAUGUAUUUGUGUUGGUGAUGAAGCCACUGUCUUUGCAUUUAAGAACAAAAAAGUAUUUGUAGGAACCGACAUGCAUGUUCUGCCAAUAUUUUCACAUCACGAAAACCAGACUGAUGGUAGUGUAACACGGGCCACUUCUACAAUCACCCACACAUCUGUUAAUAAAGAUGGAUCAAAAGUUGCAACUUGUCCAGGUGAUAUGACAAUCAAGGUGAAAGGUAUUAAUUUUGAGCAGCAAUAAGGCCAAAUAAAGUGUUCUCACUGGAGAAACUGCACCCAUUCUCAGUGUCAACCUGGAUCCUAAAUCAGAGUUUUUGAUUUUCAUUUGUUGCUGGUCUACUUGUGGCAAGUUUCUAGCGACCGCUUCUAAGGCUGGUGAUAUCCUCGUUUGGGAUAUGCAGACUAAAACCGUGGUCAACUCGUUUCAACACGAGAAAAAGACACAAAUCUGCAAUAUGGCAUGGAACCCAUCCAUUACCACUCAAAAGGAGAUUGCAUUUUGCGACUGCAAGGGUUACCUUGGCUUGUUGGAAAAUGUUACGGCUCAGGCGGAGGGCAAGGCGAAUAAGCAAAGUGCAAAAGUGGCCAUCUCAUUGACGGCUAUUGCUGGAGAUGACGACGCAGAAAUAUAAAUAUCCAUCAGCCAGAUAAAGAAAGAUACUGGAUUCCCCACCAACGCAGAAGACGGCCAAGAUGUUUUCACAGGAGUUCAGUCGUAUUCUAUGGAUUUUGAUAUCUUGGACGACGGAGCCUCUAAGAUUAACAGCAGACCUUCAAGUCCUUUGGCUGGCCAUUCCAGGCGCCCUUAUCAAUCCUCCAGUAAAAAACGAGAGCCAUUUCAACCAGGGUCAUCACCAGUCCAUCUGCAUCACCGGUAUAUGGUCUGGAACAAUGUCGGAAUCGUGAAAUGUUUCGGAGAGGAAGGUGACCAAAGUGCCAGCAGCAUCGAAGUCGAAUUCCACGAUUCGUCCAUCCACCAUGGACUGCACAUACCCAACACACUGGGCCACACUUUGGCCUCACUUUCCAGCCAGGCUCUGCUGUUGGCCUGUCCGGCACAGGAAGAUAGCCCCAGUCGGAUUGUUUGUGUCAACUUUGCUGCCUGAGAUGGACACAAAGAGUGGGCGACCACCUUGCCACUCGGGGAAGGGGCUCUAGCCUUGGCUUGCCGGCGAUGCCUGGGUGGCAGUGGCCACCUCUAGAAAUUUGCUUCGACUCUUUUCAAAUUCUGGGCUCCAGCGUGCCAUGAUUUCUCUCCCUGGUCCUAUACUCUGCUUGGCCGGCCACGGUUCCAAACUCUUUAUGGCUUAUCAUUCUUCACUGGGCAUGUUUAGCGAACAAACUAUCGGCUAUGCACUGGUGGGCAUGGACAGGAAAUCUCCGAUUGGUUACGAAUGGCUGGCCAAUCCGCAAACUCUUCCCCUCGGCCCGGAGUGCGACUUAUCGUGGGCCGGAUUCAGUGACGAAGGAACGCUGGCCACGAUGGACAGCAGCGGCCUCCUGCAAGUGCAACUUCGAUCCGGCAUGUGGAUGCCUCUGCUGGACACGAGGCAGAACGUCAAGGGUAAAUCCAACCACUACUUUCUGAUCGGAUUGAGCGAGCUGGAGGAAUGCGUCCGUUGCGAGCUGUGCAAGGGCGCCCGCUACCCUCCCACCUUGCCACGGCACAACAUGUCCUUGCUGGACGUCAGACUGCCGCUGUGUGACGGCGCCAAUGAGAAAACUCAGCUGGAAGAAGCCCUGAUUCAGUCGACGCUGCAAAUCCAGCUGACUGGCACCUUGGACCAGACGGGAUUUGACGUGGAUGACCCCAGGAAUAAGGCCGACCGCCUGUCCAAGGAAUCGUUGAUGAAGAUGUUCACCCUGGCCUGUCAGGCCGAGAGGGAGGUCCGAACGGUGGAAGUGGCCGAAUGGAUGCCCAGCGAGCAAUUGCUCCAGCUGGCCGUCAAGUACGCAACGCGAGGCAGGAAACGCCAGCUGGCCAACCGACUGACGGAGAUGGCCGAGCAGCUAGUCAGAGAUCGUGAAGCCGAAGAAACUUUGCUAAUGGAACCGACACGAACUUCAUACCUCUCAUCAAAUGCUUCUAACAAUACUUUAGACGAUGACAGGGAUAUGUUUAUUUCUACUCCACCUGUUCUCGAGAUCAAAGGUAAACCAAAUGAAAUGACUUAAAUCAUUGAUCAUUUGAUUUAAUUGAUUCUUUGUAUUUUCAACCUACAAUUCAGGUGGAAACAAUAUGUGUGCACGGAAAGUGUGCUCAAGAAGAGAUCAAAAGUGAGAAAUCAAGCCCACGCCGAAAUCGUCUUCAUCGAUCCAUCGGCAGCUCUGGAGGUGGAUGGCGUCCGAGGCUUCUUCUCGGCCAAAGAUAUCGCAUCCGGCCGGAACGUUUUCGGACCCAUCGUCCACGACGAGGAAGUCUUCGCUUCGAAACGGGUCACCUGCUGCGGCCAGGUGAUCGCCUGCGUGGUGGCCGACAAUCUGGUGCUGGCACAGCGGGCCAGCCGGCUCGUCCGAUUGACUUACAGUCCGUCUGAUGGUCCAGCCAUCUUCACCAUUCAAGACGCCAUCAAGAACAAUUCCUUCUACCAAGGCCACAGCCGUGAAAUCAUCCAGGGAGACGUCGAGGCCGGAUUCCGGAAUGCCCAGCACGUCCUGGAAGGAACUUUCGAGAUGGGCGGUCAGGAGCAUUUCAACUUGGAGACGCAAUCGGUUUUGGUCGUGCCAAAAGGUGAGGACGGAGAGAUGGACAUCACCAGUUCCACUCAGAAUCCAUCGGACUCAAAAGCUAUUGUCAGUAUAGCGUUCUACAUGCAAAUUAUCGUAACAGAAUUUCACUAUUUAACUUCACAUUCAUAAACUACUGUAUAAAAUUUAAGUAUUAUAUCCAAAACUUCGGAAAUAUUUGCCUUCUUCUGUAAUUAAACAUUGCCAGUUGAGAAUGUACUAAAAUCUACAAUUAUUUUUACUCUAAUUUUAAAAAUUAAAAGAUAUUUGUUAGUAUUAUCCGGUAAGCGGUUGAGUACGAUUGCUUCAUUCUUCUUCUCGGAAAAAGCUUGGGCGUUGCAAAAGCUGAGCCAUGGAAGAAAAAUCGGCGUCUCUUCAAUCCGGCAUUCAAAGUUCAAGUUCUCAGCUUCAUGGACGCAUUUAACAAGAGUGUUUACACGACGAACUUAACAGCCCACUGGCUUUCUGCUAAGUGAAAGUAAAAUGAGCAAUGAUUUCACGUCAUACGUGUAUUCGGUGUUUAGCGAUUUAUUGGUGCCAACUCAUUUUUUAGCGUAGUUUUGCUGUAACAGCUGUAACGUAUUUUUGUCCAACCAUAUAUAAUCCUAUUUUCAUUUAAUUUUGUUUUAAAUAAUAAAAAUAAAAAGUGUCAAAGAUU